Long non-coding RNA from Lepidothrix coronata (blue-crowned manakin), 1511 nucleotides. RefSeq lists it as uncharacterized. The record is from RefSeq and is a predicted model, not a curated record. The transcript has 4 exons. NCBI's taxonomy places the organism in Eukaryota, Metazoa, Chordata, Aves, Passeriformes, Pipridae.
GGGCCGCCACCCCUGCCACGUCCUUCCUUCUCCCCCCGAAGCAGGAGCAGAGCUUCCCCUGGAGAAGCGCAGGAUGUCACCGCCGAGAGCCAACGUGGUACUGGGCUCGUCAUCUCCAAAAGGUUUAAUGAUCCCAGGGAUCCAGCAGAGGAGAGAAUGUGGCUCAAGCCUGUGCACAACAGUGAGGUGAGGAACCAGUGUCUGCGCGAGAAAAGCUCUUCCAGAGGCAGAAACAGCCUUGAAAUGAGCUAAUUUGCCGGGCCCCGAGGCAGCUCACAUUCCUCCAGCAUCUUUAGCAUCGGCACCAUAUUUGGCAGUCGGCAUCCCCGCAAGGCCAAGCUCUUAUCCAGAGGGAUUAGCGGAGCCAAAGAAAAGAAGUUUUACAUUGAAAAUGAAGACAGGGAAGAAAAACAACCCUAAACCAAAACCCGGGGAGAGCUGGUGAGGAACCGCAGAACCAGCUCCACAUGAUUCUGCCCCUGACUAUUUCCAGGUAGCUCCACAAGAGGUAGAAGGGAGCUGCUAAAAGUGAGGUUUGCUUUUUCUUUUGCAGAUUUUCCCGGCAUUUUUCCUGCUGAACAAACAGGAGAGGCUGGGAACGGUGUCUCUCGCUUGUAUUUGUAUCUAAGGCUCGAAUCCUGAGAAUUCAAGCCCUCCUGGAUGGCCCUGAGAAAGAGUGCUCUCUGGGCUGAAAAAGCUUCCAGCAUCCCAGCACCUUCCUACCCCGGUCUGGCAAACAGGAUCUCUCCCGGCAUCCCCCAGCGGAUCCGGGACUCUGCAGACAAUGCCUAUUGUCUCAGUUUAAUUGCAGCAGCUCAUUAAGGACUGGGAGAAGCAAAUCCCAGCUCUUCCUCCCGGAGGAAUGGCCGGCCCUGGUUUGGAGGGGGCUGGGUUUAAGCAGCUCGUCCCUGGUUUGUAGAAGUCACCUUUUAAGGGGUUUUAACCCUUUUUUGAUGGAUCUAAUGUUUGUGGUGGUGCAGCAUCCUCAAAGCUGAUAAGCUAUCUCCCCCAUCUCCCAGCCUGGGAGCAGCAAACAUUCCUGCUUUGUGGAACAAAACCUCUGGCUGACCUGUAUCUGUUAAAUAACAAAAGGUACUCGAGUUGUUUGCAUACAGCCCUUGUGCCAACAGCCCUGGUGAUACCCAUCCUGGUACCUGUGUUAUCAUCAUCAUCAUCAUCAUUCCUGCAGGUACCAGCAUCCAGGCCCGAUGGGAUCAGCACAGGGGUGUCCUCACCCGUUCCUGAGCCAGGGCUGCAGGCAGGCACAGCCUGAUAGCCUGUCCUCUCUAGUGGAGCCACCCAGGGUGGGCUGGAAGCCCCCCCCAAAGCACCUUGGGGGACCUCUGCCAGAUUUCUGCUGUCUCCCAAGACCAGAGGCUGAUGGAGCAUCCCAAGGCAUUCAGUAUUGUUCUGUCUCCCCAUGGAGACAGUGCCCAAAUUUCUCCCAGCAGGGAGGCAGGAGGAGCUCCCCUUGUGCUCAUGAAAUUCAAUGUAAAGAAAACAAAUUUAUC